UACGUAGGUGGCAAGCGUUGUCCGGAAUUAUUGGGCGUAAAGCGCGCGCAGGUGGUUCCUUAAGUCUGAUGUGAAAGCCCACGGCUCAACCGUGGAAGGUCAUUGGAAACUGGGGAACUUGAGUACAGAAGAGGAAAGUGGAAUUCCAAGUGUAGCGGUGAAAUGCGUAGAUAUUUGGAGGAACACCAGUGGCGAAGGCGACUUUCUGGUCUGUAACUGACACUGAGGCGCGAAGGUCAGGGGAGCAAACGGG
This 253-nucleotide ribosomal RNA is filed under the name uncultured bacterium. RNAcentral describes it as "partial 16S ribosomal RNA". It matches the Rfam family "Bacterial small subunit ribosomal RNA", at positions 524 to 776 of the family's 1533-position model. The record is from RNAcentral.